This 253-nucleotide ribosomal RNA is filed under the name uncultured bacterium. Its description in RNAcentral is "partial 16S ribosomal RNA". It matches the Rfam family "Bacterial small subunit ribosomal RNA", at positions 524 to 776 of the family's 1533-position model. The record is from RNAcentral.
UACGUAGGGGGCAAGCGUUGUCCGGAAUUAUUGGGCGUAAAGCGUCCGCAGGUGGCCUUCCAAGUCUGCUGUCAAAGACCGGGGCUUAACCCCAGAAAGGCAGUGGAAACUGAAAAGCUAGAGAGAGGUAGGGGCAGAGGGAAUUCCCAGUGUAGCGGUGAAAUGCGUAGAGAUUGGGAAGAACACCGGUGGCGAAAGCGCUCUGCUGGACCUUAUCUGACACUCAGGGACGAAAGCUAGGGGAGCGAAUGGG